CUGAAGAGGGCCGUGUUUCAGAUAGGUCUAGUUACUGAAGAGGGCCAUGUUUCAGAUAGGUCUAGUUACUGAAGAGGGCCAUGUUUCAGAUAGGUCUAGUUACUGAAGAGGGUCAUGUUUCAGAUAGGUCUAGUUACUGAAGAGGACCGUGUUUCAGAUAGGUCUAGUUACUGAAGAGGGCCGUGUUUCAGAUAGGUCUAGUUACUGAAGAGGACCAUGUUUCAGAUAGGUCUAGUUACUGAAGAGGGUCAUGUUUCAGAUAGGUCUAGUUACUGAAGAGGGUCAUGUUUCAGAUAGGUCUAGUUACUGAAGAGGGUCAUGUUUCAGAUAGGUCUAGUUACUGAAGAGGGUCAUGUUUCAGAUAGGUCUAGUUACUGAAGAGGGCCGUGUUUCAGAUAGGUCUAGUUACUGAAGAGGGCCAUGUUUCAGAUAGGUCUAGUUACUGAAGAGGGCCAUGUUUCAUUCACCCAUUCCCGAGUACCACAGAGUAUUACAACACACACCGAGUACCACAGAGUAUUACAACACACACCGAGUACCACAGAGUAUUACAACACACACCGAGUACCACAGAGUAUUACAACACACACCGAGUACCACAGAGUAUUAUAACACACACCGAGUACCACAGAGUAUUACAACACACACCGAGUACCACAGAGUAUCACAACACACACCGAGUACCACAGAGUAUCACAACACACACCGAGUACCACAGAGUAUCACAACACACACCAAGUACCACAGAGUAUUACAACACACACCAAGUACCACAGAGUAUUACAACACAAAUACACAACACUGUUCAGAACAACACCAUUAUUGAAUGAGUAGGUGUGUCCAAACCGUUGACUGGUAUAUACACACACACAGAAAGUACACCCCUUGACUGGUAUAUAUACACACACAGAAAGUACACCCCUUGACUGGUAUAUACACACACACAGAAAGUACA
Molecule: long non-coding RNA, 955 nt
Organism: Oncorhynchus keta (chum salmon)
Lineage: Eukaryota; Metazoa; Chordata; Actinopteri; Salmoniformes; Salmonidae
Exons: 3
Source: RefSeq, a predicted model, not a curated record